UAGCUCACUAGUCGAGAGGUCCUGCGCCGAAAAUGUCCGGGGCUGAAACACGACACCGAAGCUUAGGAAUUCUAACGAAUUGGUAGAGGAGCAUUGUUAGCGGAACGAAGCCAUACCGGAAGGAGUGGUGGACUGCUAAGAAGAGAGAAUGCCGGAAUGAGUAGCGAGAAUGAAGUGAGAAUCUUCAUGGCCGAAUAUCUAAGGUUUCCAGGGUAAAGCUGAUCUGCCCUGGGUAAGUCGGGGCCUAAGGCGAGGUCGAAAGACGUAGCCGAUGGACAACAGGUUGAAAUUCCUGUACUGCGAUAUAUCAGAAAUGUGGGGACACAGAAGGAAAGUGUGAGCCGGGAAAGGAAAGACCGGUGCAAGCACAGGAGGAGAGAUGCAGGCAAAUCCGCAUCUUAAUCCAAUGGUGUUACGCGGAGCGAACAAAAGUAGCGAAGCACAUGGACCAUCUGUCGAGAAAAGCCGCUAUUGUGUAUACCGUACCCGUACCGUAAACCGACACAGGUGGAUGAGGAGAGAAUCCUAAGGCCGGCGGGAGAAGCAUUGUUAAGGAACUCGGCAAAAUGACCCCGUAACUUCGGGAGAAGGGGUGCUCACGCAAGUGAGCCGCAGAGAACUGGCCCAAGCAACUGUUUAGCAAAAACACAGGUCUAUGCAAAACCGAAAGGUGAGGUAUAUGGGCUGACGCCUGCCCGGUGCUGGAAGGUUAAGAGGAGAGGUUAGAGCAAUCGAAGCUUUGAAUUGAAGCCCCAGUAAACGGCGGCCGUAACUAUAACGGUCCUAAGGUAGCGAAAUUCCUUGUCAGGUAAGUUCUGACCCGCACGAAAGGCGUAACGAUUUGGGCGCUGUCUCAGCUGUAGACUCGGUGAAGUCUUAGUACCUGUGAAGAUGCAGGUUACCCGCGACUAGACGGAAAGACCCCAUGGAGCUUCACUGCAGGUUGAUAUUGGGAUUUGAUGCAGCAUGUACAGGAUAGGUAGGAGGCAAAGAGAUGGAUACGCCAGUAUUCAAGGAGCCGCUGUUGGGAUACUACCCCUGUUGUAUUGGAUUUCUAACCGGACGACGUAGAGCCGUUGACGGGACAGUGUCAGUCGGGCAGUUUGACUGGGGCGGUCGCCUCCCAAAGAGUAACGGAGGCGCCCAAAGAUACCCUCAGCUUGGAUGGAAACCAAGCGCAGAGUGCAAAGGCAAAAGGGUGUUUGACUGCGAGACCCACAAGUCGAGCAGGGACGAAAGUCGGGCUUAGUGAUCCGGCGGUGCUGAAUGGAAAGGCCGUCGCUCAACGGAUAAAAGCUACCCUGGGGAUAACAGGCUGAUCUCCCCCAAGAGUUCACAUCGACGGGGAGGUUUGGCACCUCGAUGUCGGCUCAUCGCAUCCUGGAGCUGAAGUCGGUUCCAAGGGUUGGGCUGUUCGCCCAUUAAAGCGGUACGCGAGCUGGGUUCAGAACGUCGUGAGACAGUUCGGUCCCUAUCUGUCGUGGGCGCAGGAAAUUUGAGAAGAGCUGUCCUCAGUACGAGAGGACCGGGAUGGACGCAUCAAUGGUGGACCAGUUGUCACGCCAGUGGCAUAGCUGGGUAGCUAAAUGCGGAAGGGAUAAACGCUGAAGGCAUCUAAGUGUGAAACCCACUUCAAGAUGAGAUUUCCCAUUGCGCAAGCAAGUAAGACCCCUUAAAGACGAUAAGGUAGAUAGGUCAGGAGUGUAAGCAUGGUGACAUGUUAAGCGGACUGAUACUAAUAGGUCGAGGGCUUGACCG
This 1758-nucleotide ribosomal RNA is filed under the name human gut metagenome. Its description in RNAcentral is "bacterial LSU rRNA". It matches the Rfam family "Bacterial large subunit ribosomal RNA", at positions 1138 to 2925 of the family's 2925-position model. The record is from RNAcentral.